RNAcentral lists this ribosomal RNA (21 nucleotides) under Armillaria gallica. RNAcentral describes it as "partial 26S ribosomal RNA". Lineage: Eukaryota; Fungi; Basidiomycota; Agaricomycetes; Agaricales; Physalacriaceae. The record is from RNAcentral. RNAcentral also lists the same sequence under 15 other names.
UUGACCUCAAAUCAGGUAGGA